AGAGUUUGAUCAUGGCUCAGAUUGAACGCUGGCGGAAUGCUUUACACAUGCAAGUCGAACGGCAGCACGGACUUCGGUCUGGUGGCGAGUGGCGAACGGGUGAGUAACAUAUCGGAACGUAUCCAAUAAUGGGGGAUAACUAAUCGAAAGGUUGGCUAAUACCGCAUACGCCCUACGGGGGAAAGCUAGGGACCUUCGGGCCUGGCGUUAAUGGAGCGGCCGAUAUCUGAUUAGCUAGUUGGUGGGGUAAAGGCCCACCAAGGCGACGAUCAGUAGCUGGUCUGAGAGGACGACCAGCCACACUGGAACUGAGACACGGUCCAGACUCCUACGGGAGGCAGCAGUGGGGAAUUUUGGACAAUGGGCGCAAGCCUGAUCCAGCCAUUCCGCGUGAGUGAAGAAGGCCUUCGGGUUGUAAAGCUCUUUCGCAAGGGAAGAAAACUUAGGCUCUAACAUAGCCUGAGGUUGACGGUACCUUGAUAAGAAGCACCGGCUAACUACGUGCCAGCAGCCGCGGUAAUACGUAGGGUGCGAGCGUUAAUCGGAAUUACUGGGCGUAAAGCGUGCGCAGGCGGUUUUGUAAGUCAGAUGCGAAAUCCCCGAGCUCAACUUGGGAACUGCGUUUGAAACUACAAGACUAGAAUAUGUCAGAGGGGGGUAGAAUUCCGCGUGUAGCAGUGAAAUGCGUAGAUAUGCGGAG
This 700-nucleotide ribosomal RNA is filed under the name uncultured bacterium. RNAcentral describes it as "bacterial SSU rRNA". It matches the Rfam family "Bacterial small subunit ribosomal RNA", at positions 8 to 703 of the family's 1533-position model. The record is from RNAcentral.